GACGAACGCUGGCGGCGUGCUUAACACAUGCAAGUCGAACGGAAAGGCCCUGCUUUUGUGGGGUGCUCGAGUGGCGAACGGGUGAGUAACACGUGAGUAACCUGCCCUUGACUUUGGGAUAACUUCAGGAAACUGGGGCUAAUACCGGAUAGGAGCUCCUGCUGCAUGGUGGGGGUUGGAAAGUUUCGGCGGUUGGGGAUGGACUCGCGGCUUAUCAGCUUGUUGGUGGGGUAGUGGCUUACCAAGGCUUUGACGGGUAGCCGGCCUGAGCGGGUGACCGGACACAUGGGGACUGAGAUACGGCCCAGACUCCUACGGGAGGCAGCAGUGGAGAAUAUUGCACAAUGGGCGGAAGCCUGAUGCAGCAACGCCGCGUGCGGGAUGACGGCCUUCGGGUUGUAAACCGCUUUCGCCUGUGACGAAGCGUGAGUGACGGUAAUGGGUAAAGAAGCACCGGCUAACUACGUG
RNAcentral lists this ribosomal RNA (468 nucleotides) under uncultured bacterium. RNAcentral's name for it is "partial 16S ribosomal RNA". It matches the Rfam family "Bacterial small subunit ribosomal RNA", at positions 28 to 507 of the family's 1533-position model. The record is from RNAcentral.